RNAcentral lists this ribosomal RNA (504 nucleotides) under uncultured bacterium. Its description in RNAcentral is "bacterial SSU rRNA". It matches the Rfam family "Bacterial small subunit ribosomal RNA", at positions 28 to 526 of the family's 1533-position model. The record is from RNAcentral.
GAUGAACGCUGGCGGCGUGCCUAAUACAUGCAAGUCGAACGAACUAAUUUAUUAGUGAGUGGCGAACGGGUGAGUAAUACAUAAGUAACCUGCCCUAGACAGGGGGAUAACUACUGGAAACGGUAGCUAAAACCGCAUAGGUAUGGGAAUCGCAUGAUUGCCAUAUUAAAAGUGCUAAGGCACUGGUAGAGGAUGGACUUAUGGCGCAUUAGCUAGUUGGUAGGGUAAAGGCUUACCAAGGCGACGAUGCGUAGCCGACCUGAGAGGGUGACCGGCCACACUGGGACUGAGACACGGCCCAGACUCCUACGGGAGGCAGCAGUAGGGAAUUUUCGGCAAUGGGGGGAACCCUGACCGAGCAACGCCGCGUGAAGGAAGAAGGUUUUCGGAUUGUAAACUUCUGUUAUAAAGGAAGAACGGUACAUGGAGGGAAUGCCAUGUAAGUGACGGUACUUUAUGAGAAAGCCACGGCUAACUACGUGCCAGCAGCCGCCGCCGUAACAC